UUUAUGGAGAGUUUGAUCCUGGCUCAGGAUGAACGCUGGCGGCGUGCCUAAUACAUGCAAGUCGAGCGAACGGACGAGAAGCUUGCUUCUCUGAUGUUAGCGGCGGACGGGUGAGUAACACGUGGAUAACCUACCUAUAAGACUGGGAUAACUUCGGGAAACCGGAGCUAAUACCGGAUAAUAUUUUGAACCGCAUGGUUCAAAAGUGAAAGACGGUCUUGCUGUCACUUAUAGAUGGAUCCGCGCUGCAUUAGCUAGUUGGUAAGGUAACGGCUUACCAAGGCAACGAUGCAUAGCCGACCUGAGAGGGUGAUCGGCCACACUGGAACUGAGACACGGUCCAGACUCCUACGGGAGGCAGCAGUAGGGAAUCUUCCGCAAUGGGCGAAAGCCUGACGGAGCAACGCCGCGUGAGUGAUGAAGGUCUUCGGAUCGUAAAACUCUGUUAUUAGGGAAGAACAUAUGUGUAAGUAACUGUGCACAUCUUGACGGUACCUAAUCAGAAAGCCACGGCUAACUACGUGCCAGCAGCCGCGGUAAUACGUAGGUGGCAAGCGUUAUCCGGAAUUAUUGGGCGUAAAGCGCGCGUAGGCGGUUUUUUAAGUCUGAUGUGAAAGCCCACGGCUCAACCGUGGAGGGUCAUUGGAAACUGGAAAACUUGAGUGCAGAAGAGGAAAGUGGAAUUCCAUGUGUAGCGGUGAAAUGCGCAGAGAUAUGGAGGAACACCAGUGGCGAAGGCGACUUUCUGGUCUGUAACUGACGCUGAUGUGCGAAAGCGUGGGGAUCAAACAGGAUUAGAUACCCUGGUAGUCCACGCCGUAAACGAUGAGUGCUAAGUGUUAGGGGGUUUCCGCCCCUUAGUGCUGCAGCUAACGCAUUAAGCACUCCGCCUGGGGAGUACGACCGCAAGGUUGAAACUCAAAGGAAUUGACGGGGACCCGCACAAGCGGUGGAGCAUGUGGUUUAAUUCGAAGCAACGCGAAGAACCUUACCAAAUCUUGACAUCCUUUGACAACUCUAGAGAUAGAGCCUUCCCCUUUGGGGGACAAAGUGACAGGUGGUGCAUGGUUGUCGUCAGCUCGUGUCGUGAGAUGUUGGGUUAAGUCCCGCAACGAGCGCAACCCUUAAGCUUAGUUGCCAUCAUUAAGUUGGGCACUCUAAGUUGACUGCCGGUGACAAACCGGAGGAAGGUGGGGAUGACGUCAAAUCAUCAUGCCCCUUAUGAUUUGGGCUACACACGUGCUACAAUGGACAAUACAAAGGGCAGCGAAACCGCGAGGUCAAGCAAAUCCCAUAAAGUUGUUCUCAGUUCGGAUUGUAGUCUGCAACUCGACUACAUGAAGCUGGAAUCGCUAGUAAUCGUAGAUCAGCAUGCUACGGUGAAUACGUUCCCGGGUCUUGUACACACCGCCCGUCACACCACGAGAGUUUGUAACACCCGAAGCCGGUGGAGUAACCUUUUAGGAGCUAGCCGUCGAAGGUGGGACAAAUGAUUGGGGUGAAGUCGUAACAAGGUAGCCGUAUCGGAAGGUGCGGCUGGAUCACCUCCUUU
This 1552-nucleotide ribosomal RNA is filed under the name Staphylococcus aureus. RNAcentral describes it as "16S ribosomal RNA". It matches the Rfam family "Bacterial small subunit ribosomal RNA". Lineage: Bacteria; Bacillati; Bacillota; Bacilli; Caryophanales; Staphylococcaceae. The record is from RNAcentral.